AGCGUUCAUGGGCACGAGAGGGCUCGGCAAAAUUUUUGAGUUUUCGAACACUACUGUCACUGAGUGCGAAGCUUCGCUCCCUGCUCGCAUACAUGGAACUUGGAGCAACAAUUUGCCAAAAAGCAGGAGCAGUGCUGUCUGUCGUACCUACAUCAUUCAUUCCGAGCUAUUUUCUUCUCUAUUGUUGCGGCACUUUGUGUGGAUGUACUUGUGUUGUGUACAUGUAGGUACAUACACAUGCAUAGCCUGCCAUACCAUACCUAGCAAACCGUUGUUGCGUUGUGUGUGCAUGGCCAGUGCACUGGUUUUAUUUUUAGCCAUCAAGUUCGAGGAGGUAUUGGGAUAGGACAUACCGGAGAGCAGGCACGGCUAGCAGCUAACAGGCAAACGAAUAGCGAACGGAAAUUUUCAUCAAUGAAUUUUCGUGUAGAUGUCGUUGUGGCAUCUACGUCGUUCUUUUUACCUUUUUUCGGGUAAUACGCAUAUGCGCAUUUCAUUGUACCCGGGAAAUUCAAUGAAUUUCGGUUCCAUUAAAAUGUAAUGAUACCAAACACCAGCACCAGCACCGACACCGUUACUGAUACCACCGAUGCCACCUGCAACAGCAGCAGCAACAGCAACAGCGACAAUGACAACAACAUUCACACCAAAUUUGGGGUGAGAUAAGAAAAUGGCCAGGAAAAGCAACAUACGGCGGAAUACACCAUACAAACACAUACACACGCUCACGCACACUUGCACCCAAAAAUGCCUAUAUACAUAUUUCCACCUGUAUGUACGUUCAUACAUUCAUGAAUACAUACAACAUACACACUUGUACAUACUCAGUGCAGAGAUAUAAGGUGUGAUACACCUGUAUUUAUAUUGUUGAUAAUUAUGGUUGGCCACAGUUAUGGCUCCAAGCAAUAAUCUAUUAAGAAAAUUAUGUGUAUGUGUGUGUGUGUGUAUAUCACGAAAGGAUAUUUCACUAUUGAACCGUUUGUAAUCGAUUUAGCCUACAUCUCAAAUACAAGAGGAUAAAGAACCGAA
This is a long non-coding RNA of Stomoxys calcitrans (stable fly), 1029 nucleotides long. RefSeq lists it as uncharacterized. The record is from RefSeq and is a predicted model, not a curated record. The transcript is spliced from 2 exons. Lineage: Eukaryota; Metazoa; Arthropoda; Insecta; Diptera; Muscidae.